This 71-nucleotide transfer RNA is filed under the name Patescibacteria group bacterium. RNAcentral's name for it is "tRNA-Thr". It matches the Rfam family "tRNA". Rfam says of the family: Transfer RNA (tRNA) molecules are approximately 80 nucleotides in length. Their secondary structure includes four short double-helical elements and three loops (D, anti-codon, and T loops). Further hydrogen bonds mediate the characteristic L-shaped molecular structure. tRNAs have two regions of fundamental functional importance: the anti-codon, which is responsible for specific mRNA codon recognition, and the 3' end, to which the tRNAs corresponding amino acid is attached (by aminoacyl-tRNA synthetases). tRNAs cope with the degeneracy of the genetic code in two manners: having more than one tRNA (with a specific anti-codon) for a particular amino acid; and 'wobble' base-pairing, i.e. permitting non-standard base-pairing at the 3rd anti-codon position. The record is from RNAcentral.
GCUCCCGUAGUUAAAUGGUAUAACAGUAACUUGGUAAGUUACAAUUCUGGGUUCGAUUCCCGGCGGGAGCU